This 1244-nucleotide ribosomal RNA is filed under the name Libnetis granicollis. RNAcentral describes it as "16S ribosomal RNA". The stretch from base 1025 to 1183 matches the Rfam family "Archaeal large subunit ribosomal RNA", at positions 2542 to 2701 of the family's 2987-position model. Lineage: Eukaryota; Metazoa; Arthropoda; Insecta; Coleoptera; Lycidae. The record is from RNAcentral.
AAUUGGUUAAAAUUAUUAUAUUUAUUAUAUUAAAAGAAUUUUUUGUUUUAAUAUUGGUAGAAUAAUUUUUUAUUAUUAAAGUUAACUAGUAAUGUAGAUGAAAUUUGAUUAUUUAAUAAUUCUAAAAGAAAAUUUAAUUUAUUGUACCUUUUGUAUCAGGGUUUUUUAAAUUAUAAGUUUUUAUUUAAUUGUUCUCGAAUUAAGAAGAGUUAAUUUAUUAUUAUAAAUUUAUGUUGCAUUAUAAUAUUUAAUAAUUUAUUUGAAGUGAAAUGUUAAUCGAUUCUUAAUAUAUCUAGUUUCUUUAGAAAUAAAUUUAAUUUAUUAAUUAAUUUGAUUUUUUUAUUUAAAAGAUUAUUAGUUAAUUAAAUAAAUAUAUAGGGAUAAGCUUGUAUAUUUAUGUCCUAAAAAUUAAAUAUUUAAAAUUAUUAGUAUAAUUAAUAUUAUUAAUCUUUGGUAUAAUUUAAUAGUUUUUAAUUUAUUUUUUAUAUUUUUUAUGGUUUUUAGGUUAUUUAUUUAGAUGAAAAUUAUAUUAAAUUUAAUUUUGUAAUUAUGAUUUAAUUAGUAUAUAUUUAUUUUAUUAGUUUAUUAAAUUAUAGAUUAGGAAAAGGAAUUCGGCAAUUUUAGUUUCUGCCUGUUUAUUAAAAACAUGUCUUUUUGAUUAUAAUUUUAAGUUUGAUCUGCUCAAUGAGGAUUUAAAUUGCCGCAGUAUUUUGACUGUGCAAAGGUAGCAUAAUAAUUAGUUUCUUAAUUAGAAGCUUGAAUGAAGGAUUUGACAAGAAAUUAGCUGUCUCUUUUUAAUUUUUAUAAAAUUUUAUUUUUAAGUAAAAAAGCUUAAAUUUUUUUAAAAGACGAGAAGACCCUAUAGAGUUUAAUAUUAUAUUUAUUUAUUUAUUUUUGAAAAUAAUAAUUAUUUAAAUAUUUAGUUGGGGUGAUUUGAAGAUAAAAUUAAUUCUUUGAAAUAUUUUAUUGAAGAUUAUUAAUUUAGUAGUCUUAUUUUUUAAAGAUUAAAAUAAAUUACCUUAGGGAUAACAGCGUUAUUUUUUUUUAAAGUUCUUAUUAAAAAAAAAGUUUGCGACCUCGAUGUUGGAUUAAAAUUAAUUUUUGGUGAAGUAGCUUAAGGAUUAGGUCUGUUCGACCUUUAAAAUUUUACAUGAUCUGAGUUUAAACCGGUGUAAGCCAGGUUGGAUUCUAUCUUUAAUUAUUUAUAAUGUUUUAGUACGAAAGGACCAAAUAUUAGUUAAAAA